Molecule: ribosomal RNA, 477 nt
Filed under: uncultured bacterium
Lineage: Bacteria
Description: partial 16S ribosomal RNA
Rfam family: Bacterial small subunit ribosomal RNA
Source: RNAcentral
AUGAACGCUGGCGGCGUGCCUCACACAUGCAAGUCGAACGGAGUCCAGCCUUUCAGCCCUUCGGGUCACAGAGGGGAAGACUGAGUGGCGGACGGGUGAGUAACACGUGGGCAACCUGGCUCAUAGAGGGGGAUAACAGAGAGAAAUUUCUGCUAAUACCGCAUAAGCACACCCUGCCGCAUGGCAGAGGGUGAAAAGAGAAUCGCUAUGAGAUGGACCCGCGUCUGAUUAGCCAGUUGGCAGGGUAAGAGCCUACCAAAGCGACGAUCAGUAGCCGAUCUGAGAGGAUGAACGGCCACAUUGGGACUGAGACACGGCCCAAACUCCUACGGGAGGCAGCAGUGGGGGAUAUUGCACAAUGGGGGGAACCCUGAUGCAGCGACGCCGCGUGAGUGAAGAAGUAUUUCGGUAUGUAAAGCUCUAUCAGCAGGGAAGAUAAUGACAGUACCUGAAGAAGAAGCCCCAGCUAACUACGUG